Molecule: ribosomal RNA, 252 nt
Filed under: uncultured bacterium
Lineage: Bacteria
Description: partial 16S ribosomal RNA
Rfam family: Bacterial small subunit ribosomal RNA
Source: RNAcentral
UAAGUAGGUCCCGAGCGUUGUCCGGAUUUAUUGGGCGUAAAGCGAGCGCAGGUGGUUUAUUAAGUCUGGUGUAAAAGGCAGUGGCUCAACCAUUGUAUGCAUUGGAAACUGGUAGACUUGAGUGCAGGAGAGGAGAGUGGAAUUCCAUGUGUAGCGGUGAAAUGCGUAGAUAUAUGGAGGAACACCGGUGGCGAAAGCGGCUCUCUGGCCUGUAACUGACACUGAGGCUCGAAAGCGUGGGGAGCAAACAGG